AUGCGUGCCCUCUUCUGGAACAUCCGCGGUUUCGGCCAUGAUGGCCGCCGCCGCCAACUCAUUGAGUACAUGCGAGAUGAACACAUUGACAUUGUCGCCAUCCAAGAAACCAUGCGCACAGUAUUCUCCCUCCCGGAACUCGACCGCCUUAGCACCCACCUCUUCGCCUGGCAUUGGCUCCCUUCUAGUGGGAGCUCGGGCCAUUCCGGUGGCAUCCUGUUAGGCGUGAAGGAUGCCACCUUCGAGGUGGGCAGUAUGGACCGGGGCCAGUUCUUUGUUAGCAUGGAACUUUUUGAACGUGCCCUCAACUUCAAGUGGGAGGUUAUUAUCGUCUACGGCCCCGCCGACCAUAGUCGGUCCGCCUCCUUCCUCGAGGAGCUCCACCGGAAGGUUUCGGCUGCUUCGCUUCCGGUGGUAGUUGGAGGCAAUUUUAACCUCCUGCGUUUCGCGGAAGACAAGAGCAAUUCGCACGUCAACUUUGCGCGUAUGCAAAUGUUCAAUGACUGCAUUGCUGACCUUGGUCUCCGUGAAAUAGAUAGGGUUGGUGCCAGGUUCACCUGGACCAACCGUCAGGCUGCUCCGACCCAGUCCGUCCUGGACCAGGUCCUAGUUUCCCCGGAAUGGGACCUCCGUUGCUCUCUUGCCUCCCUCCGGGCCAUUACUCGGAUCGGUUCCGACAACGUCCCCCUCCUUCUUUCUUCUGCUGACGAGCGCCCCCCGAUCCCUCCCCGAUUUUGGUUUGAGACAUUUUGGUUGUCCCAAGCUGGCUUCGUCGAGGCUGUUGGCGCCCGUUGGGUGGAGGCUCACGCCCAACCUCAGUCCCAGUCUUGCCCCCCUCCGCCAUCGACUCGUGGCAUUUCUGUGCCAAGCGAGGCCGUCAGUUCAUGA
Molecule: ribosomal RNA, 888 nt
Filed under: Triticum aestivum (bread wheat)
Lineage: Eukaryota; Viridiplantae; Streptophyta; Magnoliopsida; Poales; Poaceae
Description: partial small subunit ribosomal RNA
Source: RNAcentral